CUCUGAGUUGCUUAGUGCCUCAUGGUUGCUGAGGCUGGCUUUGAACUCAUGAUCCUCCUGUCUCAGCCUUCCCAGCAGAUGGGAUUACAGGUGUGCACCAUUGUGCCCAGCUACAGGAUGAAUUUUAACCACAAAACAAGACCUUUAUGUGAACAUCACAUGUGUUUUUUUCUAAAAUGAAGCAAUGUUUUUAUUUGUGCUGGGGAUUGAAUUCAGGGUCUAGCACAUGCUAGGUAAGCAUUCUAACACUGAGCUAUACACCAACUUUUUAAAUUCUUUAUUUUGACACAGGGUCUCCCUAAGUUGCCCAGGCUGGCCUUGAACUUGUAGCCUCCUGCCUCAGCUUCCCAGUAGCUGGGAUUACAGGCAUGUACAACUACACCUGGCUAAAAGCAAAUUUUUUGAAUUUAACAUAAUUUCAUUACUGGGAAAUUUUUGAUCAAUAGAAUAAACUUCACAAAGUGUUUAAUGAUUUUAU
This 478-nucleotide long non-coding RNA is filed under the name Marmota monax (woodchuck). The record is from RNAcentral. Lineage: Eukaryota; Metazoa; Chordata; Mammalia; Rodentia; Sciuridae.